Molecule: ribosomal RNA, 220 nt
Filed under: uncultured bacterium
Lineage: Bacteria
Description: partial 16S ribosomal RNA
Rfam family: Bacterial small subunit ribosomal RNA
Source: RNAcentral
GCAAGUCGAGCGAACUCUUCGGAGAUAGCGGCGGACGGGUUAGUAACGCGUGGGAACGUACCCUUUGCUACGGAACAACAGUUGGAAACGACUGCUAAUACCGUAUGAGCCCUACGGGGGAAAGAUUUAUCGGCAAAGGAUCGGCCCGCGUUGGAUUAGGUAGUUGGUGAGGUAACGGCUCACCAAGCCUACGAUCCAUAGCUGGUUUGAGAGGAUGAUC